GCGUUACAUUUGGAGGUUCCACCGAGAUUGCUGCAGCCGCCUUCAGGCUCCAACAGACGCUUCUUGGGGUUAAAGGCUCUGGAAGGGAUCCAGUAAUUUGUCUGAAUGGAAGCCGUUGGCCUCCGCUUAUCAACCAGGAGACCUUAAGGUGCCCCACUCAUUCCAAGACUCGGUGCUCGUAAGAAGACACCAGACCCACAGCCUAGAGCCCCGGUGGGAAGGACCCUACGUGGUGCUGCCGACCACCCCGACAGCAGUAAAAGUAGAUGACAUCACGUCUUGGAUCCAUGCCUCCCAUCUCAAGCCUGCGCCGCAGCAGCCGGGACCAGAAUGAACGGUAGAAAAGACUGACAGUAUUAGACACUUGGGAUCUGGGAGCAGUAGAAGACCCCACCAAACUCCCCCUGCUCAUACGAGAUGAUGGGCACCAUCCCAGCGGUGCCCAUACCUCAGGGUGCAGUGAUUCCCGCCAGGGGAAGCAGAAAACCCGCUGUGGAAAGUUACCGGGUUGUAAAAUGGAAAGACCCUGCCCCCUAAAAUGUAUUUAACCUGUGCUCAAACCCUGCUUCGGGGCCCACAACCUCUGCUCUGUGUUCAGAGUAUGUUGUGGGACCGGGCAUGCCUGUACCAAUAAACCCUUUGCUUUUUGC
Molecule: long non-coding RNA, 650 nt
Organism: Eptesicus fuscus (big brown bat)
Lineage: Eukaryota; Metazoa; Chordata; Mammalia; Chiroptera; Vespertilionidae
Exons: 3
Source: RefSeq, a predicted model, not a curated record